UACGUAGGGUGCGAGCGUUAAUCGGAAUUACUGGGCGUAAAGCGUGCGCAGGCGGUUGUGCAAGACAGAUGUGAAAUCCCCGGGCUUAACCUGGGAACUGCACUUGUGACUGUACGGCUAGAGUGCGGCAGAGGGGGAUGGAAUUCCGCGUGUAGCAGUGAAAUGCGUAGAUAUGCGGAGGAACACCGAUGGCGAAGGCAAUCCCCUGGGCCUGCACUGACGCUCAUGCACGAAAGCGUGGGGAGCAAACAGG
This 253-nucleotide ribosomal RNA is filed under the name uncultured bacterium. RNAcentral's name for it is "partial 16S ribosomal RNA". It matches the Rfam family "Bacterial small subunit ribosomal RNA", at positions 524 to 776 of the family's 1533-position model. The record is from RNAcentral.